GAACUUAGCAGAGAUGCUUUGGUGCCUUCGGGAACUCUGAGACAGGUGCUGCAUGGCUGUCGUCAGCUCGUGUUGUGAAAUGUUGGGUUAAGUCCCGCAACGAGCGCAACCCUUAUCCUUUGUUGCCAGCGGUUAGGCCGGGAACUCAAAGGAGACUGCCAGUGAUAAACUGGAGGAAGGUGGGGAUGACGUCAAGUCAUCAUGGCCCUUACGAGUAGGGCUACACACGUGCUACAAUGACGCAUACAAAGAGAAGCGACCUCGCGAGAGCAAGCGGACCUCAUAAAGUGCGUCGUAGUCCGGAUUGGAGUCUGCAACUCGACUCCAUGAAGUCGGAAUCGCUAGUAAUCGUGGAUCAGAAUGCCACGGUGAAUACGUUCCCGGGCCUUGUACACACCGCCCGUCACACCAUGGGAGUGGGUUGCAAAAGAAGUAGGUAGCUUAACCUUCGGGAGGGCGCUUACCACUUUGUGAUUCAUGACUGGGGUGAAGUCGUAACAAGGUAGGCGUAGUGCU
This 516-nucleotide ribosomal RNA is filed under the name uncultured bacterium. RNAcentral describes it as "bacterial SSU rRNA". It matches the Rfam family "Bacterial small subunit ribosomal RNA", at positions 993 to 1509 of the family's 1533-position model. The record is from RNAcentral.